UUACCUGGUUGGAACUGCCAGUAGUCAUAUGCUUGUCUCAAAGAUUAAGCCAUGCAUGUCUACGUACAUGCCGAAAUAAGGUGAAACCGCGAAUGGCUCAUUAAAUCAGUUAUGGUUCCUUAGAGAGUUUCUAUUACUUGGAUAACUGUGGCAAUUCUAGAGCUAAUACAUGCUGUGAACUCCGAGCUCUUUGAGUUAAGAGUGCUUUUAUUAGACCAAGAUCAAUCGGACCUCGGCCCGAUGUGUGUGGUGACUCUGAGUAACUUUUGCUGAUCGCACGGCCUUGCGCCGGCGACAAUUCUUUCAAGUGUCUGCCUUAUCAACUGUCGAUGGUAGGUUAUGCGCCUACCAUGGUCGUUACGGGUAACGGAGAAUCAGGGUUCGAUUCCGGAGNAGGGGAGCCUANNNNNNNNNNNNNNNAUCCAAGGAAGGCAGCAGGCGCGCAAAUUACCCACUCCCGGCNCGGGGAGGUAGUGACGAAAAAUAACAAUACGGGACUCUAUUGAGGCCCCGUAAUUGAAAUGAGUACACUCUAAAUCCUUUAACGAGGAUCAAUUGGAGGGCAAGUCUGGUGCCAGCAGCCGCGGUAAUUCCAGCUCCAAUAGCGUAUACUAAAGUUGUUGCGGUUAAAAAGCUCGUAGUUGGAUCUCAGUUUUAGACCGGAUGUGUAUCUAACAGAUACGACGGCCGGUACUGAACAUUAUACCCGCUGUUUCUUGGUCCCCUUUACUGGGUGCCUUGAAGUGGCCGGUGCAUUUACUUUGAAAAAAUUAGAGUGCUCAACGCAGGCGAAUCGCCUGAAUAAUAGUGCAUGGAAUAAUAGAACAAGACCUUGUUCCUGUUCUGUUGGUUUUAGGGAAACGAGGUAAUGAUUAAGAGGGACAGACGGGGGCAUUCGUAUUGCGGCGCUAGAGGUGAAAUUCUUGGACCGUCGCAAGACGAACUACUGCGAAAGCAUUUGCCCAGANNNNUUUCAUUGAUCAAGAACGAAAGUUAGAGGUUCGAAGGCGAUCAGAUACCGCCCUAGUUCUAACCAUAAACGAUGCCAACCAGCGAUCCGCCUGAGUUCCUAAAAUGACUCGGCGGGCAGCUUCCGGGAAACCAAAGUAUCUGGGUUCCGGGGGAAGUAUGGUUGCAAAGCUGAAACUUAAAGGAAUUGACGGAAGGGCACCACCAGGAGUGGAGCCUGCGGCUUAAUUUGACUCAACACGGGAAAACUUACCCGGCCCGGACACUGGAAGGAUUGACAGAUUGAGAGCUCUUUCUUGAUUCGGUGGAUGGUGGUGCAUGGCCGUUCUUAGUUGGUGGAGCGAUUUGUCUGGUUAAUUCCGAUAACGAACGAGACUCUAGCCUAUUAAAUAGGUGCGAGGUUCAAUGCACCUUGCAACCUUCUUAGAGGGACAAGCGGCUUCUAGCCGCACGAAACAGAGCAAUAACAGGUCUGUGAUGCCCUUAGAUGUCCGGGGCCGCACGCGCGCUACACUGAAGGAUACAGCGUGUAUUUAUCCCUGUCUGAAAAGACUGGGUAACCCGUGGAACCUCCUUCGUGAUUGGGAUAGGGGCUUGAAACUGUUCCCCUUGAACGAGGAAUUCCCAGUAAGCGCGAGUCAUAAGCUUGCGUUGAUUACGUCCCUGCCCUUUGUACACACCGCCCGUCGCUACUACCGAUUGAAUGAUUUAGUGAGGUCUUCGGACUGAAACCCGGAGAGACCAGUGGUUGCGCCGGUGUAACGGAAAGAUGACCAAACUUGAUCAUUUAGAGGAAGAAAAGUCGAACAAGUUCC
Molecule: ribosomal RNA, 1784 nt
Filed under: Allothyrus cf. australasiae OSAL001266
Lineage: Eukaryota; Metazoa; Arthropoda; Arachnida; Holothyrida; Allothyridae
Description: SSU rRNA
Rfam family: Eukaryotic small subunit ribosomal RNA
Source: RNAcentral